UACGAGGGGUCCUAGCGUUGUUCGGAAUCAUUGGGCGUAAAGCGUGUGUAGGCGGCCUUACAAGUCCGUUGUGAAAGCCCCGGGCUCAACCCGGGAAGUGCUUCUGAUACUGUUUGGCUUGAGUACUGGAGAGGAUAGUGGAAUUCCAGGUGUAGUGGUGAAAUGCGUAGAUAUCGGGAGGAACACCAGUGGCGAAGGCGACUACCUGGCCUGUUCUUGACGCUGAGGCGCGAAAGCUAGGGGAGCAAACGGG
Molecule: ribosomal RNA, 253 nt
Filed under: uncultured bacterium
Lineage: Bacteria
Description: partial 16S ribosomal RNA
Rfam family: Bacterial small subunit ribosomal RNA
Source: RNAcentral